RNAcentral lists this ribosomal RNA (434 nucleotides) under uncultured bacterium. RNAcentral describes it as "partial 16S ribosomal RNA". It matches the Rfam family "Bacterial small subunit ribosomal RNA", at positions 29 to 507 of the family's 1533-position model. The record is from RNAcentral.
AGCGAACGCUGGCGGCAGGCCUAACACAUGCAAGUCGAACGAACCUUUCGGGGUUAGUGGCGGACGGGUGAGUAACACGUGGGAACGUGCCUUUAGGUUCGGAAUACCUCAUGGAAACUUGUGCUAAUACCGAAUGUGCCCUUCUGGGGAAAGAUUUAUCGCCUUUAUAGCGGCCCGGGUCGGUUUAGCUAGUUGGUUGAGGUAAUGGCUCACCCAGGCGACGAUCAGUAGCUGGUCUGAGAGGAAGAUCAGCCACAUUGGGACUGAGACACGGCCCAAACUCCUACGGGAGGCAGCAGUGGGGAAUCUUGCGAAAUGGGCGAAAGCCUGACGCAGCCAUGCCGCGUGAAUGAUGAAGGUCUUAGGAUUGUAAAAUUCUUUCACCGGGGACGAUAAUGACGGUACCCGGAGAAGAAGCCCCGGCUAACUUCGUG